Molecule: ribosomal RNA, 495 nt
Filed under: uncultured bacterium
Lineage: Bacteria
Description: partial 16S ribosomal RNA
Rfam family: Bacterial small subunit ribosomal RNA
Source: RNAcentral
GAUGAACGCUGGCGGCGUGCCUAAUACAUGCAAGUCGAGCGAACAGACGAGGAGCUUGCUCCUCUGACGUUAGCGGCGGACGGGUGAGUAACACGUGGAUAACCUACCUAUAAGACUGGGAUAACUUCGGGAAACCGGAGCUAAUACCGGAUAAUAUAUUGAACCGCAUGGUUCAAUAGUGAAAGACGGUUUUGCUGUCACUUAUAGAUGGAUCCGCGCCGCAUUAGCUAGUUGGUAAGGUAACGGCUUACCAAGGCAACGAUGCGUAGCCGACCUGAGAGGGUGAUCCCACACUGGAACUGAGACACGGUCCAGACUCCUACGGGAGGCAGCAGUAGGGAAUCUUCCGCAAUGGGCGAAAGCCUGACGGAGCAACGCCGCGUGAGUGAUGAAGGUCUUCGGAUCGUAAAACUCUGUUAUUAGGGAAGAACAAAUGUGUAAGUAACUAUGCACGUCUUGACGGUACCUAAUCAGAAAGCCACGGCUAACUACGUG